Cygnus olor (mute swan) is the source of this 482-nucleotide long non-coding RNA. RefSeq lists it as uncharacterized. NCBI's taxonomy places the organism in Eukaryota, Metazoa, Chordata, Aves, Anseriformes, Anatidae. The record is from RefSeq and is a predicted model, not a curated record. The transcript has 4 exons.
GCAUCACACAUUUUUGAGUAAUGUGUGUUUUUUUUACUACUAAAAGAAAGUUGAAGUGUGCAGUAGAGUGACAGGAGUUUCCUUCAGCUUGCAGAGACACUCCCCCUGCAGGAGGAAAUGGAUUUACUGCAAGUGUAAGAUGUGGAAAACCUUAAACAUGAAAUUGAGACAGCACAAACUGCAGUAUCAGCUUUUAUUACAGGGCAGCUGCCUGCAGGGUGUCUCAGCUCGUCUUCGGAGGGGAGCGCAGUCCCAGCGUUCUGCCAGCAGCUAACUCUAGGGAAGAGCCUGCCUGCAAAAUACCGCUUGUCCCAGCAGCAGAUUUCCGCCACGAGGAGAGGUCUGAUACUACUUGAGGGAGCGGGAACCUCUCUGAACUCAAGUCACCUCGAACACCUGGCAGCUUCUUGCACAAGUUUGAAUCGAAGGCAGACGCGAGUCAGAGCAGCCUUCACUGAGCAGGGAACACGCAAAAGCAGUUG